RNAcentral lists this ribosomal RNA (506 nucleotides) under uncultured Glomeraceae. Its description in RNAcentral is "SSU rRNA". It matches the Rfam family "Eukaryotic small subunit ribosomal RNA", at positions 569 to 1080 of the family's 1831-position model. Lineage: Eukaryota; Fungi; Glomeromycota; Glomeromycetes; Glomerales; Glomeraceae. The record is from RNAcentral.
AGCAGCCGCGGUAAUUCCAGCUCCAAUAGCGUAUAUUAAAGUUGUUGCAGUUAAAAAGCUCGUAGUUGAAUUUCGGGGUCAGUAGGCUGGUCGUGCCACAGGUAUGUACUGGUCUCACUGAUUCCUCCUUCCUGAUGAACCGUAAUGCCAUUAAUUUGGUGUUGCGGGGAAUCUGGACUGUUACUUUGAAAAAUUGAGUGUUUAAAGCAGGCUAACGCUUGAAUACAUUAGCAUGGAAUAAUGAAAUAGGACGAUCGAUCCUAUUUUGUGGUUUCUAGGAUUGACGUAAUGAUUAAUAGGGAUAGUUGGGGGCAUUAGUAUUCAAUUGUCAGAGGUGAAAUUCUUGGAUUUAUUGAAGACUAACUACUGCGAAAGCAUUUGCCAAGGAUGUUUUCAUUAAUCAAAGAACGAAAGUUAGGGGAUCGAAGACGAUCAGAUACCGUCGUAGUCUUAACCAUAAACUAUAGCCGACUAGGGAUCGGAUGAUGUUAAUUUUUAAUGUACUC